Molecule: non-coding RNA, 218 nt
Filed under: Gracilibacillus kekensis
Lineage: Bacteria; Bacillati; Bacillota; Bacilli; Caryophanales; Bacillaceae
Description: T-box sequence
Rfam family: T-box leader
About the family: Uncharged tRNA acts as the effector for transcription antitermination of genes in the T-box leader family.
Source: RNAcentral
AUAAAUACAGCGAAUGGGAUAGUAGAAUAAGUUUUUCUAGCAUAGCGAUUUAGGGAUGGUGGGAGCCUAAUGUAGUGCCUUAUUUGAAGAUCACCCAGGAGUAGUUACACUGAAUUUAAAAGUAAGUGUAAACGUCCAUUCACGUUACGAAUCUCAAAGUGGUUAGCAAGUAAGAGCUGACUAUAAGGGUGGUACCGCGAGUCCUUCUCGUCCCUUCC